AUCCGCAUAACUCUUUUGUCGAUCUUGUGCCGUUUGUAUACGUUGUCGAAUCAUUUGGAUCUUUUCUGUAGUAAUACGUACCAACUCUGGUCCCAACAAUGUUGCUUCACCCACCUCAUCCCAACAUACUGGAGAGCGACACUUUCUUCCAUACAAUGCUUCGAAUGGAGCUACCCCUAUACUUGCCUGAUAACUGUUGUUGUAGGAGAAUUCCACCAAUGGUAAAUACUUAUCCCAA
RNAcentral lists this long non-coding RNA (238 nucleotides) under Panax ginseng (ginseng). RNAcentral's name for it is "long non-coding RNA (PGIN_LNC002054)". The record is from RNAcentral. Lineage: Eukaryota; Viridiplantae; Streptophyta; Magnoliopsida; Apiales; Araliaceae.